Long non-coding RNA from Telopea speciosissima, 176 nucleotides. RefSeq lists it as uncharacterized. The record is from RefSeq and is a predicted model, not a curated record. The transcript is spliced from 3 exons. Lineage: Eukaryota; Viridiplantae; Streptophyta; Magnoliopsida; Proteales; Proteaceae.
UCAAGAAUGCCUCUUUGUAUGGUGACCUGUGGGAGGAAGUUUAUAUGGAGCAACCUCCUAGGUAUGUUGCUCAAAGGGGAGGACUCAAAAAGUUUGUAGGCUGCACAAAGCCAUUUAUGGGCUCAAACAGUCCCCACAAGCAUGGUUUGAUAAAUUUAGUAAAGUUGUUGCUGCAU